UGGGACGAUGGGGCAGCCAGGUAAGCUC
Molecule: non-coding RNA, 28 nt
Filed under: Homo sapiens (human)
Lineage: Eukaryota; Metazoa; Chordata; Mammalia; Primates; Hominidae
Source: RNAcentral